GACGAACGCUGGCGGCGUGCUUAACACAUGCAAGUCGAACGGAAAGGCCCCUUUGUGGGUCCUCGAGUGGCGAACGGGUGAGUAACACGUGGGUAACCUGCCCUUGACUUCGGGAGAACUUCAUGAAACUGGGGCUAAUACCUGAUAGGAAUCCUUGCUGCAUGGUGGGGGGUGGAAAGCUUCGGGGGGUUGGGAUGGACUGGCGGCUUAUCCGCUUGUUGGUGGGGUAGUGGCUUAACAAGGCUUUGACGGGUAGCCGGCCCGAGAGGGCGAACGGCCACAUUGGGACUGAGAUACGGCCCAGACUCCUACGGGAGGCAGCGGUGGGGAAAAUUGCACAAUGGGCGGAAGCCCGAUGCAGGAACGCCGCGUGCGGGAUGACGGCCUUCGGGUUGUAAAACGCUUUCAGCAGGGGAGAAGCUUGUGGUGACGGUACCUGCAGAAGAAGCACCGGCUAACUACGUG
This 465-nucleotide ribosomal RNA is filed under the name uncultured bacterium. RNAcentral describes it as "partial 16S ribosomal RNA". It matches the Rfam family "Bacterial small subunit ribosomal RNA", at positions 28 to 507 of the family's 1533-position model. The record is from RNAcentral.